AACGAACGCUGGCGGCAGGCCUAAUACAUGCAAGUCGAGCGCAUCCUUCGGGAUGAGCGGCGGACGGGUGAGUAACGCGUGGGAAUAUGCCCUUCUCUAAGGAAUAGCCUCGGGAAACUGAGAGUAAUACCUUAUACGUCCUUCGGGGGAAAGAUUUAUCGGAGAAGGAUUAGCCCGCGUUGGAUUAGGUAGUUGGUGGGGUAAUGGCCUACCAAGCCUACGAUCUAUAGCUGGUUUGAGAGGAUGAUCAGCCACACUGGGACUGAGACACGGCCCAGACUCCUACGGGAGGCAGCAGUAGGGAAUCUUAGACAAUGGGGGAAACCCUGAUCUAGCCAUGCCGCGUGUGUGAUGAAGGCCUUAGGGUCGUAAAGCACUUUCGCCAGAGAUGAUAAUGACAGUAUCUGGUAAAGAAACCCCGGCUAACUCCGUGCCAGCAGCCGCGGUAAUACGGAGGGGGUUAGCGUUGUUCGGAAUUACUGGGCGUAAAGCGCACGUAGGCGGAUUAGUAAGUUAGAGGUGAAAUCCCAGGGCUCAACCCUGGAACUGCCUUUAAUACUGCUAGUCUUGAGUAAGGAGGUGAUCGAGUGUAGAAGUGAAAUUCGUAGAUAUUCGGAGGAACACCAGUGGCGAAGGCGGCUUACGGGCUCGAUACUGACGCUGAGGUGCGAAAGUGUGGGGAGCAAACAGGAUUAGAUACCCUGGUAGUCCACACCGUAAACGAUGAAUGCCAGACGUCAGCAGGUAUACUUGUUGGUGUCACACCUAACGGAUUAAGCAUUCCGCCUGGGGAGUACGGUCGCAAGAUUAAAACUCAAAUGAAUUGACGGGGGCCCGCACAAGCGGUGGAGCAUGUGGUUUAAUUCGACGCAACGCGAAGAACCUUACCUGGUCUUGACAUCCUGCGAACUCACUAGAAAUAGUUUGGUGCCUUCGGGAACGCAGUGACAGGUGCUGCAUGGCUGUCGUCAGCUCGUGUCGUGAGAUGUUGGGUUAAGUCCCGUAACGAGCGCAACCCUUGUCCUUAGUUGCCAUCAUUAAGUUGGGCACUUUAGGGAGACUGCCGGUGACAAACCGGAGGAAGGUGGGGACGACGUCAAGUCAUCAUGGCCCUUACGACCAGGGCUGCACACGUGCUACAAUGGAGCGUACAAAGGGUUGCAACCCCGCGAGGGUGAGCUAAUCCCAUAAAACGUUUCGUAGUCCGGAUCGCAGUCUGCAACUCGACUGCGUGAAGUCGGAAUCGCCAGUAAUCGUGAAUCAGAAUGUCACGGUGGAUACGUUCCCGGGCCUUGUACACACCGCCCGUCACACCAUGGGAGUGGGUUGCAAAAGAAGUGGGUAGCAUAACCUUAGGGAGUGCGCUCACCACUUUGUGAUUCAUGACUGGGGUGAAGUCGUAACAAGGUAGCCGUAGGGGAACCU
This 1425-nucleotide ribosomal RNA is filed under the name uncultured marine bacterium. RNAcentral's name for it is "partial 16S ribosomal RNA". It matches the Rfam family "Bacterial small subunit ribosomal RNA". The record is from RNAcentral.